This 566-nucleotide ribosomal RNA is filed under the name uncultured Lactobacillus sp. RNAcentral describes it as "bacterial SSU rRNA". It matches the Rfam family "Bacterial small subunit ribosomal RNA", at positions 935 to 1502 of the family's 1533-position model. Lineage: Bacteria; Bacillati; Bacillota; Bacilli; Lactobacillales; Lactobacillaceae. The record is from RNAcentral.
GAGCAUGUGGUUUAAUUCGAAGCUACGCGAAGAACCUUACCAGGUCUUGACAUACUAUGCAAAUCUAAGAGAUUAGACGUUCCCUUCGGGGACAUGGAUACAGGUGGUGCAUGGUUGUCGUCAGCUCGUGUCGUGAGAUGUUGGGUUAAGUCCCGCAACGAGCGCAACCCUUAUUAUCAGUUGCCAGCAUUAAGUUGGGCACUCUGGUGAGACUGCCGGUGACAAACCGGAGGAAGGUGGGGAUGACGUCAAAUCAUCAUGCCCCUUAUGACCUGGGCUACACACGUGCUACAAUGGAUGGUACAACGAGUUGCGAACUCGCGAGAGUAAGCUAAUCUCUUAAAGCCAUUCUCAGUUCGGAUUGUAGGCUGCAACUCGCCUACAUGAAGUCGGAAUCGCUAGUAAUCGCGGAUCAGCAUGCCGCGGUGAAUACGUUCCCGGGCCUUGUACACACCGCCCGUCACACCAUGAGAGUUUGUAACACCCAAAGUCGGUGGGGUAACCUUUAGGAACCAGCCGCCUAAGGUGGGACAGAUGAUUAGGGUGAAGUCGUAACAAGGUAACCA